UACGGGGGGAGCAAGCGUUGUUCGGAUUUACUGGGCGUAAAGGGCGGGUAGGCGGCCACCGCAAGUCAGUUGUGAAAUCUCCGGGCUUAACCCGGAAAGGUCAACUGAUACUGCGGGGCUAGAGUGCAGAAGGGGCAACUGGAAUUCUCGGUGUAGCGGUGAAAUGCGUAGAGAUCGGGAGGAACACCGGCGGCGAAGGCGGCUGCCUGGACCAGUCCUGACGCUGAGGCGCGAAAGCUAGGGGAGCAAACAGG
This 254-nucleotide ribosomal RNA is filed under the name uncultured bacterium. RNAcentral describes it as "partial 16S ribosomal RNA". It matches the Rfam family "Bacterial small subunit ribosomal RNA", at positions 524 to 776 of the family's 1533-position model. The record is from RNAcentral.